GACGAACGCUGGCGGCGUGCUUAACACAUGCAAGUCGAACGGGAGUAUUGAAGGAGCUUGCUUUAGAGAUACUUUAGUGGCGGACGGGUGAGUAACGCGUGAGGAGCUGUCCUAUGCAGGGGGACAACAGUUGGAAACGACUGCUAAUACCCCAUAAGCCGAGAGGUAAAAGGAGCGAUCCGGCAGAGGAGGUACUCGCGUCCUAUCAGCUAGUAGGUGAGGUAACGGCUCACCUAGGCGAAGACGGGUAGCCGGCCUGAGAGGGCGAACGGCCACACUGGAACUGAGAUACGGUCCAGACUCCUACGGGAGGCAGCAGUGGGGAAUAUUGGGCAAUGGGGGCAACCCUGACCCAGCGACGCCGCGUGGGUGAAGAAAUCCCUCGGGAUGUAAAGCCCUGUUGUAUGGGAAGAGCAGAAGACGGUACCAUACGAGGAAGCCCCGGCAAACUACGUGCCAGCAGCCGCGGUAA
This 472-nucleotide ribosomal RNA is filed under the name uncultured bacterium. RNAcentral describes it as "partial 16S ribosomal RNA". It matches the Rfam family "Bacterial small subunit ribosomal RNA", at positions 28 to 523 of the family's 1533-position model. The record is from RNAcentral.